CCUACGGGAGGCAGCAGUGGGGAAUAUUGCACAAUGGGGGAAACCCUGAUGCAGCGACGCCGCGUGAGUGAAGAAGGAAUUCGUUACGUAAAGCUCUAGCAGCAGGGAAGAAAAUGACGGUACCUGAGGAAGACGCCCCGGCUAAAUACGUGCCAGCAGUCGCGGUAAUACGUAGGGGGCAAGCGUUAUCCGGAUUUACGGGGUGUAAAGGGAGCGUAGACGGCAGUGCAAGUCUGGAGUGAAAGGCGGGGGCCCAACCCACGGACUGCUCUGGAAACUGUACGGCUGGAGUGCAGGAGAGGUAAGUGGAAUUCCUAGUGUAGCGGUGAAAUGCGUAGAUAUUAGGAGGAACACCAGUUGCGAAGGCGGCUUACUGGACUGUAACUGACGUUGAGGCUCGAAAGCGUGGGUAGCAAACAGGAUUAGAUACCCCAGUAGUC
This 440-nucleotide ribosomal RNA is filed under the name uncultured bacterium. RNAcentral describes it as "partial 16S ribosomal RNA". It matches the Rfam family "Bacterial small subunit ribosomal RNA", at positions 338 to 795 of the family's 1533-position model. The record is from RNAcentral.